GGCGCAGCUAACGCAAUAAGUAGACCGCCUGGGGAGUACGGCCGCAAGGUUAUAACUCAAAUGAAUUGACGGGGGACCGCACAAGCGGUGGAGCAUGUGGUUUAAUUUAGUCGCAACGCGAAGAACCUUACCUACUCUUGACAUCCAGAGAACUUUCCAGAGAUGGAUUGGUGCCUUCGGGAACUAUGAGACAGGUGCUGCAUGGCUGUCGUCAGCUCGUGUUGUGAAAUGUUGGGUUAAGUCCCGUAACGAGCGCAACCCUUCUCCUUACUUGCCAGCACUUUGGGUGGGAACUUUAAGGAGACUGCCGGUGACAAACCGGAGGAAGGUGGGGACGACGUCAAGUCAUCAUGGCCCUUACGAGUAGGGUUUCACACGUGCUACAAUGGCGUAUACAGAGGGCAGCGAACUUGCGAGAGUAAGCAAAUCCCAUAAAGUACGUCGUAGUCCGGAUUGGAGUCUGCAACUCGACUCCAUGAAGUCGGAAUCGCUAGUAAUCGUGAAUCAGAAUGUCACGGUGAAUACGUUCCCGGGCCUUG
Molecule: ribosomal RNA, 539 nt
Filed under: Marinomonas sp.
Lineage: Bacteria; Pseudomonadati; Pseudomonadota; Gammaproteobacteria; Oceanospirillales; Oceanospirillaceae
Description: bacterial SSU rRNA
Rfam family: Bacterial small subunit ribosomal RNA
Source: RNAcentral